GUUUGAUCCUGGCUCAGGAUGAACGCUAGCGGCAGGCUUAAUACAUGCAAGUCGUGGGGCAGCAGGUUUGUAGCAAUACAGAUGCUGGCGACCGGCAAACGGGUGCGGAACACGUACAGAACCUCCUUUGAGCGGGGAAUAGCCCAGAGAAAUUUGGAUUAAUACCCCAUAGUAUAAUGAAGUGGCAUCACUUUAUUAUUAAAGAUUUAUCACUCGAAGAUGGCUGUGCGGCUGAUUAGGUAGUUGGCGGGGUAAAGGCCCACCAAGCCUGCGAUCAGUAACUGGUGUGAGAGCACGACCAGUCACACGGGCACUGAGACACGGGCCCGACUCCUACGGGAGGCAGCAGUAAGGAAUAUUGGUCAAUGGAGGCAACUCUGAACCAGCCAUGCCGCGUGGAGGAUGAAGGUCCUCUGGAUUGUAAACUUCUUUUAUAUGGGACGAAAAAGGCUUUUCUAAGUCGUCUGACGGUACCAUAUGAAUAAGCACCGGCUAACUCCGUG
RNAcentral lists this ribosomal RNA (503 nucleotides) under uncultured bacterium. Its description in RNAcentral is "bacterial SSU rRNA". It matches the Rfam family "Bacterial small subunit ribosomal RNA", at positions 11 to 507 of the family's 1533-position model. The record is from RNAcentral.